CUACUGUUUGUUGCCAACCGCCAGUAAAACCAAGAAGAAAAAGAAGAAGAAGAAGAAGAAGGAACAAAGGCGCUGCUUUGUUUAAUGUUCGAGUGUUUCUCUAAGCGAGUUUAUCAACGAGCGGUUAAUUGCUGCUGAAGAAACAUUAACGGAGUUUUAUAAAAAAUCAUCGUCAAGUCGGAGGAAGAGAUGGAUGAUCAGCGCAGACUGCUGGAUUUCUCCCGGACUCCCCGGAUUAUUUUACACCGGAUAGAUUGCCUGCAACAUAACAUUUAUAAGGAGGAGCUAUGUAAGCAGGAGGAGUUAGAACCUCUGCAGGUGAAACAAGAACAGGAAGAACCAGAAGAUCAUCAGAUAAAAGAAGAGCAGGAGGAUCUAAAACACCAGCAGAUAAAAGUGGAAGAGGAAGAAGUUUACUGCAGUCAGGGUGAAGAACAUAUUGAGUUAAAACAGGAGACUGAUACCUUCAUGUUGGUUCCUGUUUAUGAACAAACAUACCAAACUGAAUCAGAACCAAACAGGAACCAAGUCAUCUUCCAGGAAGCUGCUGAAGCUGAGAACCAAAAUCAGGAAAGAAGAAAACCUUUCUCAUGUGUCACUUGUGGAAAUUUUUUUAAACAAAAACAAGGUUUAACUCGUCACAUGACGAUUCACACGGGUGAAAAGCCGUUUUCAUGUGUGACCUGUGGACGAAGUUUUAGUC
Molecule: long non-coding RNA, 703 nt
Organism: Poecilia latipinna (sailfin molly)
Lineage: Eukaryota; Metazoa; Chordata; Actinopteri; Cyprinodontiformes; Poeciliidae
Exons: 2
Source: RefSeq, a predicted model, not a curated record